Molecule: long non-coding RNA, 1059 nt
Organism: Acinonyx jubatus (cheetah)
Lineage: Eukaryota; Metazoa; Chordata; Mammalia; Carnivora; Felidae
Exons: 5
Source: RefSeq, a predicted model, not a curated record
UCCCAGAAUCAGGGUGGGAACAGGGUUAGAGGUCCGGGCAGACAACCUGAUGACACACACUGGAGAAGCCCUUGUGCCAUCAGCUUCUUGACUCCUUUGUGUCCAACAGGACAUAGGGACUACCCACAAGCCUGGAACAUUUUCUCUUAGGUCACCUUGAGGAUAAUCACAGUGUAAUCAGAAAGCUGAAGCGACAAGAGACCUCAACCGCACUACCUGGCCGAUAACACAGGAGCUGUCUCAGGAAGAAAGAGAAGGCACGCAGCAAGUGGUGACGGUUAAGAGGAUCCGCCACAGUGCUCGCUACAGGCAAGCUGCCCACGAUGAUGACGGCGGCUACACAGAGCAGCAAGGUCAUUCCCAGCCAAGGAAACACCCAUUGGCCACGGCCUUGACCAACGCAGGGAAGGAAUAUAGAGAGCCUUGGAUCCCAAACACUGGUUCCUGGGACAGUCAAUGUAAUAGGUGGGGAAGGACAGGAACAAGCAAAGAACACCAAGAAGGAGCAACCCAAGGAGCUGAACGAAUGGCUUCCCAAAAUCAAGGUCACAUUUUCCAGCGUUCAUGACAACCUGGUGUACUCAUGUAACAAAGUUCUGAUGACUGGGAGAAGAGAAGAUUCUACAACCUCUGGCAAACAGUUCUCUGUGCUUAGCAACCUCUACCCUGUGAGAAUCCUAGGUGCCAUGUCAAAGCGACCAUUGCAGUUGAAGACUGCUAACCAAAGAUAGAAUGGGAAGAAAAUGACCUAAUUUACCUCGAGAUGACUCCGUAUAAUACUUUGAAUUCUGGAAAACAUCAUGGAACAGUGAAGGCAUCAAAGCACAGCCAGUUCACCAUGUAAUGUUUUCCACAUUAUAUUACUCACGCCUGGAAGAGUCCAGAGGUCACUUGGGUCAACUCUUGAGAGGCUGUGGGAAUUAACCACUGUCACUCAUGGUACCCUUUUUCCAGACUUCUUCCAGUAAGUAAAUCUCCCAGUGGGAUGAAACUUAAUUAUUUGGACCAUGUCUGCUCUGUUACGUAUUCUGCCUUGCCCAUGAUGAAUGCUUUAAUAAA